This 288-nucleotide ribosomal RNA is filed under the name uncultured bacterium. Its description in RNAcentral is "partial 16S ribosomal RNA". It matches the Rfam family "Bacterial small subunit ribosomal RNA", at positions 28 to 311 of the family's 1533-position model. The record is from RNAcentral.
GAUAAACGCUGGCGGCGUGCCUAAUGCAUGCAAGUCGCACGGGGAGCACCUUCGGGUGCUUCGAGUGGCGAACGGGUGAGGAACACGUGGCCGACCUACCCCGGCGUGGGGGAUACCCGCCAGAAAUGGCGGCUAAUACCGCGUACGGUCGCAUCCCGGGUGGGGGUGGCGAAGAAAGCAGCGAUGCGCGCGUGGGGAGGGGGCGUGCGGCCGAUUAGCUCGUUGGGCGGGGUAACCGGCCCACCAAGGCGAUGAGUCGGUAGCGGGUCUGAGAGGAUGAUCCGCCAC